AGGGUUACGCCACAUGGGACUGAGAUACGGCCCAGAUUCUACGGGAGGCAGCAGUGGGAAUAUUGCACAAUGGGCGGAAGCCUGAUGCAGCGACGCCGCGUGGGGAUGACGGCCUUCGGGUUGUAAACUCCUUUCGACAGGGACGAAGCGCAAGUGACGGUACCUGUAUAAGAAGCACCGGCUAACUACGUGCCAGCAGCCGCGGUAAUACGUAGGGUGCGAGCGUUGUCCGGAAUUACUGGGCGUAAAGAGCUCGUAGGUGGUUUGUCGCGUCGUCUGUGAAAUUCCGGGGCUUAACUUCGGGCGUGCAGGCGAUACGGGCAUAACUUGAGUGCUGUAGGGGAGACUGGAAUUCCUGGUGUAGCGGUGAAAUGCGCAGAUAUCAGGAGGAACACCGAUGGCGAAGGCAGGUCUCUGGGCAGUUACUGACGCUGAGGAGCGAAAGCAUGGGUAGCAAACAGGAUUAGAUACCCUGGUAGUCCAUGCCGUAAACGGUGGGCGCUAGGUGUAGGGGGCUUCCACGUCUUCUGUGCCGUAGCUAACGCAUUAAGCGCCCCGCCUGGGGAGUACGGCCGCAAGGCUAAAACUCAAAGGAAUUGACGGGGGCCCGCACAAGCGGCGGAGCAUGUGGAUUAAUUCGAUGCAACGCGAAGAACCUUACCUGGGCUUGACAUACACCAGAUUGCUGCAGAGAUGUAGUGUCCCUUGUGGUUGGUGUACAGGUGGUGCAUGGUUGUCGUCAGCUCGUGUCGUGAGAUGUUGGGUUAAGUCCCGCAACGAGCGCAACCCUUGUCUUAUGUUGCCAGCAUUUGGUUGGGGACUCAUGAGAGACUGCCGGGGUUAACUCGGAGGAAGGUGGGGAUGACGUCAAAUCAUCAUGCCCCUUAUGUCCAGGGCUUCACACAUGCUACAAUGGUCGGUACAACGCGCAGCGACACUGUGAGGUGGAGCGAAUCGCUGAAAGCCGGCCUUAGUUCGGAUUGGGGUCUGCAACUCGACCCCAUGAAGUCGGAGUCGCUAGUAAUCGCAGAUCAGCAAUGCUGCGGUGAAUACGUUCCCGGGCCUUGUACACACCGCCCGU
RNAcentral lists this ribosomal RNA (1081 nucleotides) under Corynebacterium minutissimum. RNAcentral describes it as "bacterial SSU rRNA". It matches the Rfam family "Bacterial small subunit ribosomal RNA", at positions 299 to 1397 of the family's 1533-position model. Lineage: Bacteria; Bacillati; Actinomycetota; Actinomycetes; Mycobacteriales; Corynebacteriaceae. The record is from RNAcentral.